GUUCUUUCGUUCCUGAGACGCCCUGG
Molecule: non-coding RNA, 26 nt
Filed under: Cricetulus griseus (Chinese hamster)
Lineage: Eukaryota; Metazoa; Chordata; Mammalia; Rodentia; Cricetidae
Source: RNAcentral